Molecule: unclassified non-coding RNA, 2912 nt
Filed under: Hevea brasiliensis (rubber tree)
Lineage: Eukaryota; Viridiplantae; Streptophyta; Magnoliopsida; Malpighiales; Euphorbiaceae
Source: RNAcentral
UUCUGUUACUCUGACUAGGGCUGAUUACGGACUGAUUACGAGAUGAGUAUCGACAAUGGCAAGCAGCAAAACAACAAACAUCAUCCUCAUCUAUUGGUCUGUAUUUCUAUAUAAAUAGAGUACAUAGAUUGAGAAGGUUAUCAAGCCAUUAUUCUACAAAAUUCUACUCUUCUUCCUAUUUCACAAAGCUAACCAGUCGGCACAACUAUUAGUCUCUCAAAAAACAUGAGAAUGACAGUCCAAUCCAACUGCAAAAAGCUUUUACAGUGACAAAAAUAGCCCUGCACAAAACAGGAACCUCCAAUGGGCCCUCGUAAUAGAAAUAAUCUCCGAACAAUCACAUUCCACGAUAACCCUGUUCACACCCUGCAGCUAAUACAUGCGCCAUUGCAUAAGAAUGCCAGCAUUGCAAACAAUGGAAAUAUUUUGCUAAGGGCUCCCACCAGUAUAGGAGAAGAUACUAGAAAUGCUUUGUUAGGAAAAAGAAAUUGGGAAGACAGCCAGCCUUCAGUCAUUCUUUUUGGCUCCAGUAAUUUUUUGCGACAUAUCAGAUUUCAGUUUGCACCCAAAAGACACAGCUUCCAAAAACUUAGCAUCAAUUGCUUGUUCAUGUUUCUCGUAAAUAGAGAAUGCCAUAAAAGCAACAGGAAGUCCUAUAAUAAAGAAACUCUGAAAUUUAAUGGCUCCAAUGAAGCUAAGAAUCAAGAGCAACAGAACAACCUUAAGGAACAGCAUCCAGUCAUUCCCCUUGCAAAGAAAUUUUAAGACAUUAACAGAAGCAUUCCAUGAUGAAGCCACUGAAAGAGCAACUUGGUGAGACUUAUCUUCUGACAAGUGGAAAUAUGAUACUGGAAUUUUUUCAAUUGUAUAUCCAAAUAUUCUCUCUGGUAAAUUUCCAUGGACAAACAGGAAGACUGAUACCACCAACAGAAGCUUUGAAAGCGCAUUAAUUAUGGUAGACUGAGAUGCAACAAAGUUGUAGUAAAUUGCAAUUAGAAUUAACAAUGUCAUCAGUGUCUGCCUUUUAUCCUUCCAAAGUAGUGUGUCAGCGACCCUUCCACCUCCAAGACAUCUGUGAGCCUUAGAUGGUCCUUCUCUUUUCGGUUGAUUAUCGGCCCUCAAGUGCGUAAAUGACUCUAGAGUCCUUUUCAAACCUUCCUCAAGUGAUAUGAUGGGCGCGUAGCCAAGUCGGUCCUUUGCUUUUGAACAACUAAAUGAUCUGCUACAAGAGAGGAGUCUAAUUCUUGAAGGUAUCAACUGUGGAACCUUCAUCCCAUAUGGGCCCAAUAGCUUAUAUGUCCACUCCACUACAUGUGCUAAUGGCAUCAUAGCAAAAGCAGGGAUCUUUAUCCUUGGCCUCUCAUAGCCAAGACCUCCCACCACAAGUGAGGUAAACUCCCAGAACUUAAUGGGCUCCAUGUUAGUUAUAAAAUAAGCCUGCAAAUCAAAUUCUCUUAGCCACAAGCAGGUCCAGAUUUCCCACGUUAGCAUGCAAUAUUACAUUGUGAAAGCAAGAGUCAACUUCAUUCAACAAAAAUUAGUAAAGAACAAAACAUUAAGGGACCAGAUGAACCGGUCAUCCAGUUACUUCUUUUACGCGUGUUUAAAAAAACCAGACAUGAAUUCACUUGACAGUUUAUGUCUCAAGAAACUUUAAACAUCUUCCACGUACCAGCAUUUCCCUUGAGAGAUUUCAGAGUCCAGAUUAGCAUAAAGCGUGUAGCACAAACUAUCCUCAACAAAGUAAUAUGCUAAAGCAUCAAAGUUUAAUUAUUUAAUUUUUUUACUCAUAUCACCAUUGAAUCUAUGAACUAAACGUUGAAAGAUGAUGUCCUUUAGAUGACAGGAAACAAACCCUCUCAAACAUUUCCACAUGGCUUCAAAUGAAGCAUGCAUAUCCAAUUGCCACUGGAGUGAAGAAUUCAAACAGCAAUUGGUCAAUGACACUAUAUUCCAAUGAAACACAGUGAAGAAAGGUAAAAUUAGACAACCAAUGAGAAUGUGACACAUAGAGGUUGACAAGUCAAACCACACCUUUUUGAACAUGCAAAGAAGUUGAGAGAUAAAGAGAGCAGCGUUAGGCAAAGCGAUGAUAAUAAAGAGCUAGGUCGAAUGGCCGACAAUUGAGAUGGCCAAGUCAAACAGAUACCAACUGAGCCAACUGAGCUUAUUAAGUCGAAUGGAGACCGACUGACUCCUCCAGGUCAACUCAACACCAUCUGGUAUACAUAAAAGAGUCUGCAUUCAAUAUUUGAUAGGGACAGGACGCAUACUAACUGCCCAUCCUUCUAACAAAUCUACUGAAAGAGGUUUGCCAGACCAUGCUUAUCUCAUUGACACCAAAUAACCCUACUGAUGCCCGUAGAUAGCUUCUCAUGAUAACUUAUCUAGUGGGUCCACUUUCGAUGACUAUUUAAAGAACAAUCCUCAAGACAAGUAGGUUUCUUCUGAAGAAAUACAACACUCUCUUAAUUCUAUAUUUUCUGUUUACCUCCUUCCUUUUCAUUCUUCUUAUCUCUAUUAAAGCUAGAACUAACUAAGCAUUAGAGUUUCCCUGCCAGAUUACACCUAGAUCACUCUAUAGCUUUUCCCUUUCCUUAUUGCAGGCCAUUCUGGCAGAAAGAUUGGUAUUCAUCACAUAGAGUCUCACGCAACCUUUGCCAAUCUAAAAUGUACCAUACAAGAAUAUCGUGCACUACAAUCUUCAUCCUGUAUGUACACAGGGUGACAAAAACUUUUAAGUGGCUUUAUCAUUGUAGCCCUAACUUCAGCAACUUCAGCCCAUGAAAACUUAAUGAUUUUGAUUUACUAGCCAGUAUAUGCCCUUUUCAUUAUUUUCAUAGAAAAUAUAGAUAGGCCAAAGAAACCUCUUGGUCUGUCUUAGUAACGCAGAAUAGGAAGAUGAUAUUCCU